RNAcentral lists this ribosomal RNA (213 nucleotides) under Heterosigma akashiwo. RNAcentral describes it as "partial Trypanosomatid mitochondrial large subunit ribosomal RNA". The record is from RNAcentral. Lineage: Eukaryota; Raphidophyceae; Chattonellales; Chattonellaceae.
AGCUUUUACAACAACAAUAAAAAAUAUAUAUCACAAUGUAUCAUCAUGAUAUAUAUACAUAAUAUACACAUACAAUGUGGCAGAAGCAGCUCAGGGGAGAGGGAGCGUUGAGGAUAGGACGGAGUGCGAGUUAUAUAGCUUUCAGAGGGCCAGAGUUGUGGGCAGUUGGAUGGUAUUGUAUAUAUACUUGCGCUUAUGUAAUAGUAGGUAAGA